This 250-nucleotide ribosomal RNA is filed under the name uncultured bacterium. RNAcentral's name for it is "partial 16S ribosomal RNA". It matches the Rfam family "Bacterial small subunit ribosomal RNA", at positions 524 to 776 of the family's 1533-position model. The record is from RNAcentral.
UACGGAGGGUGCAAGCGUUAUCCGGAUUCACUGGGUUAAAGGGAGCGUAGGUGGGUUGGUAAGUCAGUGGUGAAUCCCGAGCUUAACUUGGGAACUGCCAUUGAUACUAUCAGUCUUGAAUACUGUGGAGGUUAGCGGAAUAUGUCAUGUAGCGGUGAAAUGCUUAGAUAUGACAUAGAACACCAAUUGCGAAGGCAGCUGGCUACACAAAUAUUGACACUGAGGCUCGAAAGCGUGGGGAUCAAACAGG